RNAcentral lists this ribosomal RNA (375 nucleotides) under uncultured organism. RNAcentral's name for it is "partial 16S ribosomal RNA". It matches the Rfam family "Bacterial small subunit ribosomal RNA", at positions 527 to 896 of the family's 1533-position model. The record is from RNAcentral.
GAACCGUCCAAACGUUAUUCGGAAUCACUGGGCUUAAAGGGUGCGUAGGCGGCGCGGUAAGUUGGGUGUGAAAUCCCUCGGCUCAACCGAGGAAUUGCGCCCAAAACUGUCGUGCUCGAGGGAGGCAGAGGUAAGCGGAACUGAUGGUGGAGCGGUGAAAUGCGUUGAUAUCAUCAGGAACACCGGUGGCGAAGGCGGCUUACUGGGCCUUUUCUGACGCUGAGGCACGAAAGCUAGGGUAGCGAACGGGAUUAGAUACCCCGGGUAGUCCUAGCUGUAAACGAUGAGCACUUGAUCGGAGGAACUCCCCAUAUUUUUCCGAUCGUAGCGAAAGUGUUAAGUGCUCCGCCUGGGGGUAGUAUGGUCGCAAGGCUG